This 497-nucleotide ribosomal RNA is filed under the name uncultured bacterium. RNAcentral's name for it is "partial 16S ribosomal RNA". It matches the Rfam family "Bacterial small subunit ribosomal RNA", at positions 28 to 507 of the family's 1533-position model. The record is from RNAcentral.
GAUGAACGCUGGCGGCGUGCCUAAUACAUGCAAGUCGAGCGAACGGACGAGAAGCUUGCUUCUCUGAUGUUAGCGGCGGACGGGUGAGUAACACGUGUAUACCCUCCCUAUCAGACUGGGAUCACUUCGGGACACCGGCGCUAAUACCGGAUAAUCUUUUGAACCGCAUUGUUCAUUAGUGAAAGACGGUCUUGCUGUCACUUAUAGAUGGUUCCGCGCUGCAUUAGCUAGUUGGUAAGGUAACGGCUUAGCAAGGCAACGAUGCAUAGCCGACCUGAGAGGGUGAUCGGCCACACUGGAACUGAGACACGGUCCAGACGCCUAAGGGAGGCAGCAGUAGGGAAUCGUACGCAAUGGGCGAAAGCCUGACGGAGCAACGGCGCGUGAGUGAUGAAGGUCUUCGGAUCGUAAAAAUCUGUUAUGAGGGAAGAACAGAUGUGUAAGUAACUGUGCACAGCUUGACGGUACCUAAUCAGAAAGCAACGGCUAACUACGUG